Molecule: ribosomal RNA, 468 nt
Filed under: uncultured bacterium
Lineage: Bacteria
Description: partial 16S ribosomal RNA
Rfam family: Bacterial small subunit ribosomal RNA
Source: RNAcentral
GACGAACGCUGGCGGCGUGCUUAACACAUGCAAGUCGAACGGAAAGGCCCUGCUUUUGUGGGGUGCUCGAGUGGCGAACGGGUGAGUAACACGUGAGUAACCUGCCCUUGACUUUGGGAUAACUUCAGGAAACUGGGGCUAAUACCGGAUAGGAGCUCCUGCUGCAUGGUGGGGGUUGGAAAGUUUCGGAGGUUGGGGAUGGACUCGCGGCUUAUCAGCUUGUUGGUGGGGUAGUGGCUUACCAAGGCUUUGACGGGUAGCCGGCCUGAGAGGGUGACCGGCCACAUUGGGACUGAGAUACGGCCCAGACUCCUACGGGAGGCAGAAGUGGGGAAUAUUGCACAAUGGGCGGAAGCCUGAUGCAGCAACGCCGCGUGCGGGAUGACGGCCUUCGGGUUGUAAACCGCUUUCGCCUGUGACGAAGCGUGAGUGACGGUAAUGGGUAAAGAAGCACCGGCUAACUACGUG